AUGUUUCUCUACAGAUGGGAUUUGAAAUGGUGUCCCAUUUUUGGCAAAUUGAAGACUCUGUUACUCAAUGAGUGGUUUACGGCUGUUGGCCUAGUUUGCAUUCUCCGACAUUCUCCAGUCCUUGAGAUACUCACUCUUAAGCUUGACAAUACCGAGGACAUUGUAGGAGCAACAGGAGCCCAGGAAACAAAAACACAAUCAUUUGUUUGUGCAUGCAUUAAGUCCGUUUACGUUGAAUGUGAAGAGGUUGAUGAGGGAGUUCUUGCAGUCUUGAAUAUCUUAAGUACAUGCGGCAUACUUCGUGAUCAAAUUAGCAUCAAGGAGGAUCCACAUACGGACUCAGAUUAG
Molecule: ribosomal RNA, 348 nt
Filed under: Triticum aestivum (bread wheat)
Lineage: Eukaryota; Viridiplantae; Streptophyta; Magnoliopsida; Poales; Poaceae
Description: partial small subunit ribosomal RNA
Source: RNAcentral